AAAAAAACAAACCCUUAAUUUUCGUGUCCAACUUUGACUGUCCGUCUUUAUAAUUUUUUUUUAUAAUUCGUAUUUUCAUUAUUGUUAUAUGAUAAAAUAUAAUUAAUAUUUUAUGCGUGAUUUGUCUUUUUAAUUUUUUUAUAUUUUUUUUAAAUAAGACGAACGGUCAAACAUUGAACACGAAAAUCAGGGUUUGUCUUUUU
Oryza rufipogon (brownbeard rice) is the source of this 203-nucleotide microRNA precursor. It matches the Rfam family "MIR812 microRNA precursor family". Lineage: Eukaryota; Viridiplantae; Streptophyta; Magnoliopsida; Poales; Poaceae. The record is from Rfam.